RNAcentral lists this ribosomal RNA (513 nucleotides) under uncultured bacterium. RNAcentral's name for it is "partial 16S ribosomal RNA". It matches the Rfam family "Bacterial small subunit ribosomal RNA", at positions 28 to 523 of the family's 1533-position model. The record is from RNAcentral.
GAUGAACGCUGGCGGCGUGCCUAAUACAUGCAAGUCGAGCGAACAGAUAAGGAGCUUGCUCCUUUGACGUUAGCGGCGGACGGGUGAGUAACACGUGGGUAACCUACCUAUAAGACUGGGAUAACUUCGGGAAACCGGAGCUAAUACCGGAUAACAUUUGGAACCGCAUCGUUCUAACGUGAAAGAUGGUUUUGCUAUCACUUAUAGAUGGACCCGCGCCGUAUUAGCUAGUUGGUAAGGUAACGGCUUACCAAGGCGACGAUACGUAGCCGACCUGAGAGGGUGAUCGGCCAGACUGGAACUGAGACACGGUCCAGACUACUACGGGAGGCAGCAGUAGGGAAUCUUCCGCAAUGGGCGAAAGCCUGACGGAGCAACGCCGCGUGAGUGAUGAAGGGUUUCGGCUCGUAAAACUCUGUUAUUAGGGAAGAACAAACGUGUAAGUAACUGUGCACGUCUUGACGGUACCUAAUCAGAAAGCCACGGCUAACUACGUGCCAGCAGCCGCAGUAA